This 536-nucleotide ribosomal RNA is filed under the name uncultured archaeon. RNAcentral's name for it is "bacterial SSU rRNA". It matches the Rfam family "Archaeal small subunit ribosomal RNA", at positions 460 to 997 of the family's 1478-position model. The record is from RNAcentral.
AGCCGCCGCGGUAACACCGGCGGCCCGAGUGGUGAUCGUGAUUAUGGGUCUAAGGGUCCGUAGCCGGUUGGUCAGUCCUCCGGGAAAUCUGAUAGCUCAACUAUUAGGCUUUCGGGGGAUACUGCCAGACUUGGAACCGGGAGAGGUAAGAGGUACUACAGGGGUAGGAGUGAAAUCUUGUAAUCCCUGUGGGACCACCUGUGGCGAAGGCGUCUUACCAGAACGGGUUCGACGGUGAGGGACGAAAGCUGGGGGCACGAACCGGAUUAGAUACCCGGGUAGUCCCAGCCGUAAACGAUGCUCGCUAGGUGUCAGGCAUGGCGCGACCGUGUCUGGUGCCGCAGGGAAGCCGUGAAGCGAGCCACCUGGGAAGUACGGCCGCAAGGCUGAAACUUAAAGGAAUUGGCGGGGGAGCACAACAACGGGUGGAAGCCUGCGGUUUAAUUGGACUCAACGCCGGACAACUCACCGGGGGCGACAGCAAUAUGUAGGCCAAGCUGAAGACUUUGCCUGAAUCGCUGAGGGGAGGUGCAUGG